CUGAUAUGUUUGUAGGAUGCAUUGUAUGAGUGUAAUACAAUGAAGCAUUAACACGUCACGUCACGUGACGUCGUAUGAGCUCAUUCAGACCACUGACACUUUAGUGAUUGAUUACAUCGCGUGAUUAAUAAGAUGUCACAGGAACGAGGAAGGGCGGAUGGGCGGAGACUCGCAAAAAAAAAAACACAUGACGCCCGUGACGUCACGCCUGCGUCACCGUCCCUGCCAGAGAGCUCCAGCUUUUUUUUUUUUUUCGUGCAACCGGAGAACAACAAGACAGCGGAGGAGGGAACAGACGCGGAAAUAUCCGAUAAAAUGACGCGUGAAUACGUCGCCUUAUGCAACUUUGUGUCGACAACCGUCCGCCCGCUAAACACGGUGUUAUGUGAACAACACGAAUAAACACGGCACGACGUCCGCUAAACACGCAGACACCUCGAACCACGGAGGAACCUGCAGAGAAUCAGGCUCAACUGAAUCAUUCGCGUAAGCUGCGCUGCUCGAGGGUCACGGCAAUGACGGACGGGGCUCAGCCAACAUUACGCACACACACGACAACGCCGUGUCAACACGACUAUUUAACACUAUGGACGUGAGGAAAAUACACACGGACACACAUCAGCAUCCGCCAUCGACUCCACAUUAGAAAACAGCGACCGCUGUGCUGGAAAAGGCUUCAUACCGGUGUGUGUGUGUGUGUGUGUGUGUGUGUGUGUGUGUGUGUGUGUGUAACAGGACGUCGAGGUGUGUCGCUAUCAAAUCCAUCCGUGGCCUUAUGAUAGGUCAUUGCCAAAGAUAGCCUCUUAAUUAGAAUUGUAAUUCUAGCUGUUCUAUUACGUCACGAUUCUCUGCAGGCUGGAAGAAAUAAUCAGCAAUGCAGAAACAACGUUUGACACCUCGAGAUCUCACACACACACACACACACACACACACACACACACACUACCGUGCAAAACGCGAAGAAAACGAGUAAAGAAUCGCUUACCUGCCUUCGCAGUGUUGUUCAAGUUGUAAACGAGCUCUCACACGGAGAAGAAACAAGUGUUUAAAGCACAGCUUUAGAUAAUCUUUACGUGAGGUAGUUAAAACACAAGCUACAAAAAUAAAAGGCUUUCUUCUCAGAAGAAGGGCUUCGUGUAAAAAAACACAAUGUUACACCGAUGUUUUUCCCCCAGAUCAAAACAUCUGCAGCUUUUCCUCCUCUCCUACUUUAUGUACACACAUAUAUAUAGAUAUGAAUAUGUUCUUGUCCGCUGCAGAUCCGUGUUUCCUUCUGUUUAUUGCUGCCUCCAGCUGAUCCUCGGAUCAGAAUGUAGGACGUACAAAACAGCUGAUUGUGAGAUCACAGUACGUUUGGUCCCGCCCCCUUUCCCCGCCCACAGCAAGUAGAGCGGCCAAUCAGAAUAUUACACAAGGCCACGAGCAGGGCCGCUAUGUAACAGGGGGGUGGCUGGAGCUGUCAACCCGCAGCCCAGAUGGAAACCGUUGUCACUUCCGCGUCCAGCUGUCCUGCUGCUCGAGGUCGCGCUGGGGGGGGGCUGACGCUGACCCUGGGGGGCUGACCCUGGGGGGGUUUGCUCGCGAUGCAUCGAGGAGAGAGGAUGACCUGCUUCAAGUGAAGUCAAUUAAAUGUCCGAGUGGGUCAGGAGAUAAAGUUAAUUGCGUCUAACGUGUUAUAAUAUUAGUUAUUAUAAUAUCAGAUAGAACAUUCUAUGUUUGUGUUCCAUGUGUAACAGAUUGCGGUUUGUUUUAAGGUGUUGAACGGCAUCUUUUUAGAGACACUUCUAUUAUCCAACGUUGAACAUUGAACGGAUCAAACAGCAGCAGCUUCCCUCUUCCGGUCACACUGCUGAUGUCACUUUAAAUUUGCAUUGGAAAAAUAACUCAAUCCCCUCCACCCUCAUCAUCACGUCCUUCUUCAUCACUCCGCCUUGGUUUUGGGGACGGGACCUCCGCGUGCCACUCAAUGCACAUCAGCCAAUCAGAGACGCUCUUUUCCGAAUGCAGCAUUUGAGCCACCAAUGAGCUGUGGGGAAGUCUUAACGCCCCCUGGCGGUCACUUUAGAGGCCGCAGUCCUAAAGAACCGUCUGCCCUCUAUCACCCCCUCUAACAGGCCUGUGGUCAUCAACAUGUAUGUAAACACGUGUUCAACUCUACAUGAAUGGUCUUAAUCUAAUUUAUCAUUUCCUUUUUUCUCUUUUAGUUCAGAUUGUUUUCAUUACCAGGUGGCUUUUGUGCUGUUGACUGUCCAACAAACCUGAUGUAUGCAUCUGCGUACAGUGUAAAUACUUCAUUACAAAAAAACAAAUAAAGACGUGUGCAUGUCCAUGCAUGUGUGUGUCCCUCCCUGCCUCGUGUUUGUAUGAAGUCUAUAGAGUUUUGUGCGCUUUAAUGGGGCUUUUUUUACUGUGAGGGCGAGUGAACAUUUUAAGUUCGGGGUUUCUGAACAUCUGCGUCCCGGAAAGAAACUUCAGAGGGCCGAGUUCCUGUAAAGUUCCCGUUUGGUCAGUAAAUCCAUGUUACUUAAGUAUACCGCUGAGGAUUCAAGCACACACUGUAUCUCCAACAG
Gasterosteus aculeatus aculeatus (three-spined stickleback) is the source of this 2570-nucleotide long non-coding RNA. The record is from Ensembl. Lineage: Eukaryota; Metazoa; Chordata; Actinopteri; Perciformes; Gasterosteidae.